CCGAGUGCUUGCACUCAAUUGGAAAGAGGAGUGGCGGACGGGUGAGUAACACGUGGGUAACCUACCCAUCAGAGGGGGAUAACACUUGGAAACAGGUGCUAAUACCGCAUAACAGUUUAUGCCGCAUGGCAUAAGAGUGAAAGGCGCUUUCGGGUGUCGCUGAUGGAUGGACCCGCGGUGCAUUAGCUAGUUGGUGAGGUAACGGCUCACCAAGGCCACGAUGCAUAGCCGACCUGAGAGGGUGAUCGGCCACACUGGGACUGAGACACGGCCCAGACUCCUACGGGAGGCAGCAGUAGGGAAUCUUCGGCAAUGGACGAAAGUCUGACCGAGCAACGCCGCGUGAGUGAAGAAGGUUUUCGGAUCGUAAAACUCUGUUGUUAGAGAAGAACAAGGACGUUAGUAACUGAACGUCCCCUGACGGUAUCUAACCAGAAAGCCACGGCUAACUACGUGCCAGCAGCCGCGGUAAUACGUAGGUGGCAAGCGUUGUCCGGAUUUAUUGGGCGUAAAGCGAGCGCAGGCGGUUUCUUAAGUCUGAUGUGAAAGCCCCCGGCUCAACCGGUGGAGGGUCAUUGGAAACUGGGAGACUUGAGUGCAGAAUAGGAGAGUGGAAUUCCAUG
This 623-nucleotide ribosomal RNA is filed under the name Enterococcus faecalis. RNAcentral's name for it is "bacterial SSU rRNA". It matches the Rfam family "Bacterial small subunit ribosomal RNA", at positions 62 to 673 of the family's 1533-position model. The record is from RNAcentral. Lineage: Bacteria; Bacillati; Bacillota; Bacilli; Lactobacillales; Enterococcaceae.